RNAcentral lists this transfer RNA (63 nucleotides) under Trichogramma chilonis. RNAcentral's name for it is "tRNA-Phe". Lineage: Eukaryota; Metazoa; Arthropoda; Insecta; Hymenoptera; Trichogrammatidae. The record is from RNAcentral.
GUUUAAAUAGUUUAAUUCAAAAUUUAAUAUUGAAGAUAUUAAGAUAAUAUUUAAUAUUGAAGA